Molecule: small nuclear RNA, 22 nt
Filed under: Arabidopsis thaliana (thale cress)
Lineage: Eukaryota; Viridiplantae; Streptophyta; Magnoliopsida; Brassicales; Brassicaceae
Description: snRNA_00069
Source: RNAcentral
CCCGCACGUAGUGCGGCUACUC